Molecule: ribosomal RNA, 316 nt
Filed under: uncultured bacterium
Lineage: Bacteria
Description: bacterial SSU rRNA
Rfam family: Bacterial small subunit ribosomal RNA
Source: RNAcentral
GACGAACGCUGACGGUGUGCUUUAGGCAUGCAAGUCGAACGAGAAAGCCCUUCGGGGUGAGUAAAGUGGCAAACGGGUGAGUAACACGUGGAUAACCUGCCCUUCGCAGGGGGACGAACCGGAGGAAACUCCGGCUGAUACCCCGUACCGUUUGUCGAGGGGCGAUCCCCUCGACAAAGAAAGGUAGCUUCGGCCAUCCGGCGAAGGAGGGGUCCGCGUCCCAUUAGCUAGUUGGUGAGGUAGAGGCUCACCAAGGUGACGAUGGGUAGCUGGUCUGAGAGGAUGAUCAGCCACACUGGGACUGAGACACGGCCCA